Molecule: long non-coding RNA, 512 nt
Filed under: Capsicum annuum
Lineage: Eukaryota; Viridiplantae; Streptophyta; Magnoliopsida; Solanales; Solanaceae
Description: long non-coding RNA (CANN_LNC016705)
Source: RNAcentral
ACGGAUCCCUAAACUUUCACUAAUAUUCAUCCAUUUUUCACUUCUUGGGGUACCUUUUUUUUCACAAAUUUAGCAGUUUUAUGUGAAUUUGAACCGGGUCGAGCUCAAUUUCGGGUCAUAAAUUCGGGUUUCCAAAAGGGUCUUGCUUAGAUCUGAAAAGUUUCAGACUUUUUCACUUCUUGGGGUUCAUUUUUCAGUUCUUGAAUUGCAUUUUUUGAUUAAUGUAGCAUUUUUAUGUGAAAAAUAUGAAGUGGGUCGAGCUCAAGUUCGGGUCAUAAAUUCGGGUUUUGCUUGGAUCCCAAAGUUUCAGUGUUUUUUCAGUUCUUGAAUUGAAAUUUUAUUAUGUAAAUUCGAUUUUUAUGUGAAAAUAUGAACCGGGUCGAGUUCAAUUUCGGGUCAUGAAUUCGGGUUCUAUGAUGGGUCAUAAACGGGUCGAACAAAUGGGGGAAAGGGUACCUAAAAGGAUGUUUCUUGGAUGUCAAAUGCCAAUAGUAUUACUGGUGGGUGGAAAU